Molecule: unclassified non-coding RNA, 43 nt
Filed under: Streptococcus thermophilus ND03
Lineage: Bacteria; Bacillati; Bacillota; Bacilli; Lactobacillales; Streptococcaceae
Description: NTR from Streptococcus thermophilus ND03 (PDB 6IFL, chain J)
Source: RNAcentral
GGUAGGAAUGGGUAAUUAUAGCGAGCUAGAAAGCGUUUCCGUC